Molecule: long non-coding RNA, 2441 nt
Organism: Numida meleagris (helmeted guineafowl)
Lineage: Eukaryota; Metazoa; Chordata; Aves; Galliformes; Numididae
Exons: 3
Source: RefSeq, a predicted model, not a curated record
CCCGUGGGCGGCCUCCGCGGGCCCGAGGCAGCGGCGGGCAGAGGGAGCUCUUCCUCCUGGGGGUGCGGACAGCGCCGUGAAGCAGAAAAAGGGAGUACGGUAUAAUGGACCUGCGAAACGAAGAGCUUUAUUUACAGAUCUAAACAGCUGCUGGGUAAUUGUAUAGGGUUGACUGCAGUUUCAUCUAGCAGGAAUCCUCUUCAUGUCCAACCUAUGAGUAUUCUCAGUACCUUUUCGACAAGCUGAUUCCCAAGCUAGCCAGCUUUACCUUAGGCUAUAAAAGGCUGUGCAGUUAAAGGCUUCAGCUCUCAGCAGACCCAGGUAGGAACUACGUUCAGUUUACUGAGAAAACAUUGAGGUCCUAAAGAAAGUGAAAUGGGCAGGUGGAGUUCUUGAGUGCUGAUUACCACAGCUACUCUUUCGAUUAGUAGACUGCUGUCACUUUUAAAAUUUCUUAUAGUGUUCUAAUCAGUCUGAUAACGUCAUACACGUUUCAGCUUAACAUGAUUCAUAGACCACAGGCGUGAGUGCUGCUGUGUAGAAUCGUGCUCUUCAUGUGCCUGAAACUGUCAUUUGUCUGCAAACAUCUGCGAGUAUUUGAUAGUUAUAUUGUAAUUUACAUACUUAGCAGACUUUUCAUGAAUAUAUGGAGUGUUGCAGGAUUGGAGCUGCUGUUAUUGCCAAAGAAUGUGGAUGUGAACGGCUUCUUCCUUCCAUUUGUUGAGCGUUCUACUUCAAGCUGUUCAGUGUGAGACUUGAUGAGUUUGUACUACUGGUACUGAAUGUAGGGUUUACUGAUAAUGUUUGAGGAUUUAGGUAAUUAAGAUGGAAAAAUUAGCAAUUGUACCUACACUAUCUUUCAUUUCACUGAAUGUUUUGUGAGCUCGAUACAAUGCCAAAUGCAUAUUAGGAAAUUGAAAGCUUUAGAAGCAUUGUUUUGUUUCGCUUUGUAACUUUUGUCCAAAUAGUAAAUACACAGUGCCCGUGUGGAAUGAUUUCUCUGCAGACUCGGCGUUACCAGUAGCUAGCAUUUAGAUUGUGAUACUUGUUUGCUUUAGAUACCUGAUCCUCUUAAAAACUUCUCAUCAAGUUAUGUCAUACCAUGUUUCAUUGUCUCUACCGGCUGCUGUUAGUGCCUGUAUCUGAAUGAUACCUUACAAAAGUGGACAGCGUGAACUGUGGGUUGUCUUUUGCCAGCGCACCUUAAUUUCAGAGCUUAACAGGAUGGAUGUUGGUUGUUAGAAUUGUGGUCUUGAAGUUUGUGGCUGUCACUCGUCUACUUAGUGGCGUUAUGGCAGCACAGAAGGCAUUCCGCAUGAAAAACGAUUCCUUAAAGGUUAAUUACAGAUACAGGGAAGUAAUGCAUUUGGGACGUAAUCGUGUUCCAGGCGUCAUCAUCUUCUAAAAUGAUCUGUGCCUUAUUUAUACAGUAGAUUAAUCACUGCUUCUUUGUGCCGUUGUGAUAAUGAAGGCCAUAAUGUCUGUCUGCUUUUCUGAGAGACUGUUUUAUUUCUGUUCAAGGACCUAAGUAAUUCCGAAGAAUGGUCACAGUAGAAAUGCAAGGGAGGAAUAUUAAUCCUUUCUACUCUUGAAGAGCUGCCUGCAGCGUGUCACGUAGCUUUGAUAUCAUGUUUGGUGCCCAUCUUGCUUGGUACUGCUCUGAAAUCGAAUCUUUCAGAUGAGAUUUUGGUUUCACUGAGCAGCAUGUGCAUUUAUGGCCAUGUCUACAGUGUGAUCUUUCAGGAAAUUUCAAGAAACUGGGAAAAAAAGUUGGGUUCGGGAUUCUUGACUACAGAAUACUCGGCAGAGAUCAUUGAGGAGUUCAGGUUGUUUUUCCCAGCACUUUGAUAAAUUAGACACGUUGUAGGUGGAGGAAGUAAAGCAGGUAUUUUCAAACUGAUACGAGGUUUAAUCAAGCUUUGAUGAUUCCAGCUGCUGUUUGCCAUCCCAUCAAUAUGAUCACCAGCUACUGAUGCCCAAAUCAGCCUUUUUUGUAGGGAAAGCAUUGGGUAUAUUUCUGGUAAACUAGUAUUUGUAUGUAAUGGGCGUGUUAGCAUGCAUGACAAUACUAUAGAUGGCUCUAACAAAAUGAUAGCUAUGCAUUACAUCAGUUAUGAAGGUUCAUGCAUGUAAAACGUUACUAGUAUGUAUUAUCAAAGAAAUAUUUCAGCCUGAUUUCAAGGGGAAAAAAUAUUUUAAAUACAGAUAUGAUUGUGGUGCCUCCAGAUAUUUAAAGGGCUGGAUUGCCGUGCUUGACCUAAACAGUCUGGAAGUAGGGUGCUUUAUUGUAAUGUUUUGUUGAUACAUAGUGGUGUGGAAGAAAUGAAACUAUGAAUACAAUUUUAAGGUGUACACGAGCGCACGCAGACCACUGCAUUAACUUAAUUUAAAAACAAAAGCAAACGAAACCACCGGUAGAGUCUUCUCAGGUAUUCGUUAUU